GACGCUGGCGGCGUGCCUAACACAUGCAAGUCGAGCGGGGAGGAGGAAGCUUGCUUCCGAAUCCUAGCGGCGGACGGUGAGUAACGCGUGAGCAACCUGCCUUGAACUGGGGGAUAACGCAUCGAAAGAUGUGCUAAUACCGCGUAAGACCACAGUACCGCAUGGUACAGGGGUCAAAGGAGCAAUCCGGUUUAAGAUGGGCUCGCGUCCGAUUAGCUAGUUGGUGAGAUAACAGCCCACCAAGGCAACGAUCGGUAGCCGACCUGAGAGGGUGAUCGGCCACAUUGGAACUGAGACACGGUCCAGACUCCUACGGGAGGCAGCAGUGGGGAAUAUUGGGCAAUGGGCGAAAGCCUGACCCAGCAACGCCGCGUGAGGGAAGAAGGGUUUCGGCUCGUAAACCUCUGUCCUAUGGGACGAAGAAGUGACGGUACCAUAGGAGGAAGCCCCGGCUAACUACGUG
This 463-nucleotide ribosomal RNA is filed under the name uncultured bacterium. RNAcentral describes it as "bacterial SSU rRNA". It matches the Rfam family "Bacterial small subunit ribosomal RNA", at positions 33 to 507 of the family's 1533-position model. The record is from RNAcentral.